CCUACGGGAGGCUGCAGUGGGGAAUAUUGCACAAUGGGCGCAAGCCUGAUGCAGCCAUGCCGCGUGUGUGAAGAAGGCCUUCGGGUUGUAAAGCACUUUCAGCGGGGAGGAAGGCGGUGAGGUUAAUAACCUCAUCGAUUGACGUUACCCGCAGAAGAAGCACCGGCUAACUCCGUGCCAGCAGCCGCGGUAAUACGGAGGGUGCAAGCGUUAAUCGGAAUUACUGGGCGUAAAGCGCACGCAGGCGGUCUGUCAAGUCGGAUGUGAAAUCCCCGGGCUCAACCUGGGAACUGCAUUCGAAACUGGCAGGCUAGAGUCUUGUAGAGGGGGGUAGAAUUCCAGGUGUAGCGGUGAGAUGCGUAGAGAUCUGGAGGAAUACCGGUGGCGAAGGCGGCCCCCUGGACAAAGACUGACGCUCAGGUGCGAAAGCGUGGGGAGCAAACAGGAUUAGAUACCCUUGUAGUC
This 465-nucleotide ribosomal RNA is filed under the name uncultured Klebsiella sp. RNAcentral describes it as "bacterial SSU rRNA". It matches the Rfam family "Bacterial small subunit ribosomal RNA", at positions 338 to 795 of the family's 1533-position model. Lineage: Bacteria; Pseudomonadati; Pseudomonadota; Gammaproteobacteria; Enterobacterales; Enterobacteriaceae. The record is from RNAcentral.